AAAUUGAAGAGUUUGAUCAUGGCUCAGAUUGAACGCUGGCGGCAGGCCUAACACAUGCAAGUCGAACGGUAACAGGAAGCAGCUUGCUGCUUCGCUGACGAGUGGCGGACGGGUGAGUAAUGUCUGGGAAACUGCCUGAUGGAGGGGGAUAACUACUGGAAACGGUAGCUAAUACCGCAUAAUGUCGCAAGACCAAAGAGGGGGACCUUCGGGCCUCUUGCCAUCGGAUGUGCCCAGAUGGGAUUAGCUUGUUGGUGGGGUAACGGCUCACCAAGGCGACGAUCCCUAGCUGGUCUGAGAGGAUGACCAGCCACACUGGAACUGAGACACGGUCCAGACUCCUACGGGAGGCAGCAGUGGGGAAUAUUGCACAAUGGGCGCAAGCCUGAUGCAGCCAU
Molecule: ribosomal RNA, 398 nt
Filed under: Escherichia coli
Lineage: Bacteria; Pseudomonadati; Pseudomonadota; Gammaproteobacteria; Enterobacterales; Enterobacteriaceae
Also listed under: 1 other name
Description: bacterial SSU rRNA
Rfam family: Bacterial small subunit ribosomal RNA
Source: RNAcentral